GACGAACGCUGGCGGCGUGCUUAACACAUGCAAGUCGAACGGGCCUUGUCCCCUUUUUUUUUGGGGGUGGGGUUAGUGGCGAACGGGUGAGUAACACGUGAGUAACCUGCCCCUCACUUCUGGAUAACCGCUUGAAAGGGUGGCUAAUACGGGGUGUUCUGGCCUGCUCGCAUGGGUGGGUUUGGAAAGAUUCGACCGGUUUUGGUUGUUUUGGUGGGGGGUGGGCUCGCGGCCUAUCAGCUUGUUGGUGGGGUGAUGGCCUGCCAAGGCUUUGACGGGUAGCCGGCCUGAGAGGGUGGGCGGUCACACUGGGACUGGGACACGGCCCAGACUCCUACGGGAGGCAGCAGUGGGGAAUAUUGCACAAUGGGCGCAAGCCUGAUGCAGCGACGCCGCGUGAGGGAUGGAGGCCUUCGGGUUGGGAACCUCUUUCGCCAGUGAAGAAGGUCCUGCUCUUUGUGGUGGGGUUGACGGUAGCUGGGUUAAUGAAGCGCCGGCUAACUACGUG
This 508-nucleotide ribosomal RNA is filed under the name uncultured bacterium. RNAcentral's name for it is "partial 16S ribosomal RNA". It matches the Rfam family "Bacterial small subunit ribosomal RNA", at positions 28 to 507 of the family's 1533-position model. The record is from RNAcentral.